RNAcentral lists this unclassified non-coding RNA (326 nucleotides) under soil metagenome. RNAcentral's name for it is "partial contains 5.8S ribosomal RNA, internal transcribed spacer 2, and large subunit ribosomal RNA". The stretch from base 1 to 119 matches the Rfam family "5.8S ribosomal RNA", at positions 35 to 154 of the family's 154-position model. The record is from RNAcentral.
GAUGAAGAACGUAGCGAAAUGCGAUAAGUAAUGUGAAUUGCAGAAUUCAGUGAAUCAUCGAAUCUUUGAACGCACAUUGCGCCCCUUGGUAUUCCGGGGGCAUGCCUGUUCGAGCGUCAUUUCAACCCUCAAGCUCAGCUUGGUAUUGAGUCCAUGUCAGUAAUGGCAGGCUCUAAAAUCAGUGGCGGCGCCGCUGGGUCCUGAACGUAGUAAUAUCUCUCGUUACAGGUUCUCGGUGUGCUUCUGCCAAAACCCAAAUUUUCUAUGGUUGACCUCGGAUCAGGUAGGGAUACCCGCUGAACUUAAGCAUAUCAAUAAGCGGAGGA